AUUUAUUUAAAGGUAAAAACACUUUUUAUCUUUAAAAAGAAAACAUAAAAGAAAAGGAUAACUAACCUAAACUACCCACAUCUGCAUCACGUUCUCAUUUUCCCAUUUCCCUUUGCACGAUCAACAGAUAUGGGUAGAUUGGCAUCUUCAUUACUCCUUUUAGUGCAUGUACAAUAGUAACAAAAUCCACGCCACUUUAUUUUCAUUGUUCACACACAUACUCUCUGUCUGUGUUGCUGCUUUUGAUUUUCCGUGGCAUUCUGAUCUCUGCAUAUUGCCAUUCUACAAGCUUGAUGAUCACCAUUCUAGCAGCAUUUUUGGCAGUUGAUAAAUAAGAAGAAGCAGCCAGAUUUGCAAGGGAAAUUAACAAAAGUGAAAAAAGAAGAAAGUUGUAUACUGUGGAAUUUUAUACUUGUGAUAAUUGGUUAAACUUUGGAUUGACAUUGUUUUUGUGAUGUGAAUAAAAGAAAGUGUGGAUAUGGGUUGGUAACAUGAAAAAUAUACUUUUUCUUUUAA
Long non-coding RNA from Lycium ferocissimum, 516 nucleotides. RefSeq lists it as uncharacterized. The transcript is spliced from 2 exons. The record is from RefSeq and is a predicted model, not a curated record. NCBI's taxonomy places the organism in Eukaryota, Viridiplantae, Streptophyta, Magnoliopsida, Solanales, Solanaceae.